Molecule: ribosomal RNA, 196 nt
Filed under: uncultured bacterium
Lineage: Bacteria
Description: partial 16S ribosomal RNA
Rfam family: Bacterial small subunit ribosomal RNA
Source: RNAcentral
CUGCAACUCGCCUACAUGAAGUUGGAAUCGCUAGUAAUCGCGAAUCAGAAUGUCGCGGUGAAUACGUCCCCGGGUCUUGUACACACCGCCCGUCACACCACGAGAGUUUACAACACCCGAAGUCAGUGGCCUAACCGCAAGGAGGGAGCUGCCUAAGGUGGGGUAGAUGAUUGGGGUGAAGUCGUAACAAGGUAAC